CAGAACAAUAACUAAAGCAUAGAAGGAAGGCUAAAAUAAGAAUUCAGAAACUAUAAACCGGCUCUCUUCUAGCUUACGACACAAACUAUGAGUGAGAAAAGGACAAAUGAUUCGCUCUUUGCUUCAUUUUUUCCGAGGUUGUCACAACAUGAAAUGUCAUUUGGACCUAUUGGACUCAUUUUAAUUCGGCCAAAUACAUAGUAACAUACAUAAGAAGAUUUUACUUAUAUUUACCGAACUAUUUGACACGGUCGCGUGAACUUUGUUUACGAGUGUCUUGUGUUCAGAUUGUUUUAAGUGAUAAUUUAACAAUAUUUUCCAAAUAAAUGGAAAGAAACUUUUAUUUAUAUCAAAUAAUUGAGUGUCUCGACUCUGUGACAUUAUGUCUUGUGUGGUAUGGGGCUGCAGCUCACAUUCAGGAAGAAAAGAAAAUAGCCAACAACUUCUGUCGUUUCAUCGAUAUUAAAUCCAAAAGUGUCGACUGGAUUUACAUGAAAAGUCAGUUCAAGAAGACGAGAUGAAAAAUUUAAAAGAAAAGCUGAACAAGUCACGCCUCAAGAUCAAACGACUUAAUGAAAAAAAAAAAUCAAUGUGACAGGGUGUCACAAAGACAGUUUCUAAACAAAUUGACACUGUUUAGAAAUUAAUAAAUUUGUAUUUAUUGUAAAUAUAAUGUACAUAAUUAAUAACGUGUAUAAUAAAUA
Long non-coding RNA from Pectinophora gossypiella (pink bollworm), 704 nucleotides. RefSeq lists it as uncharacterized. The record is from RefSeq and is a predicted model, not a curated record. Lineage: Eukaryota; Metazoa; Arthropoda; Insecta; Lepidoptera; Gelechiidae. The transcript is spliced from 3 exons.